This is a non-coding RNA of Phrynosoma platyrhinos (Desert horned lizard), 72 nucleotides long. The record is from the annotation of a GenBank genome assembly. Lineage: Eukaryota; Metazoa; Chordata; Lepidosauria; Squamata; Phrynosomatidae.
GCCAGAUUGGUGUAGUGGUUUGAGUUUUGGACUAGGACUCAGGAGACCAGGGUUCAAAUCCCCACUCAGUCA